GCGCCAAGGAACAGAGAUUGACGCAACGGGAGCGAAGAACAGAAGCGAUGGAUGGUUACGCUGGUUGACUCUCGGCAUGUUCAAAAUGGCGAAGUUCCGAAUUUGUCGCUGUGUGACGUGCGCGUGUGUGCUCGCGAUGUGCCGUCAUAGCGCGGGGAUAUUUGUGCUGAAUGUGUUUCACUUCGUCUACAAAACUCUGCACGCAAUGGCAUCGAAGAAGUGGUGUGUUCAGGUGCACGUAUGUGCAUGCUUGGAUACGGAAAGCCUGCCCUCAACGGUAGCGCUGAGCUCAGCCGUGUUGGCUCAGCGCUACCCCCUCAACGGAUGUUCAACAGUCUACGUGCUCGUAACUUGCUCACGAGACCUCCUUGCUGUUGCAACUCUGAGGACAAUUGCUUCAAAUGGGAAGGAACAACCAGCAGUGCCAGCGCUAUUUGUACAUGAGGACACCUCCUUGCUGUUUCAACUCUGAGGACAAUUGCUUCAAAUGGGAAGGAACAACCAGCAGUGCCAGCGCUAUUUGUACAUGAGGACGACGAGAGGGUUCCACUCACCCCCUGUGUGGUGUAUUCUGGCCACAACCUGGAACAGGCAGAGUUUCUCCACCUCUGUGUCGACAAGGAGCGGCUGUUCAUGGUGAAAAAUGCGGAGGAAGGGGUCAUCGCAAUCAUGAGUGCAUUUUUUGUAUUGAACGUAGUAUAUCGGCCUAAAUACUUCAACACCAGUGCAGUACUGGAACGAUUGUGUUUUGGUUUGAAUGUAAUAAUGCCAAGUGGUUGUUACAAAGUUUGUGAACAGAGUUGUGCAGGCAAUGCGACACCGAGGUUCAUGUACGUUACCAUACGAAUGCUAGCCUGACAAUUUUGUGCAAUAGCUUGAGCAAUAGUUUUGUGCAAUUUUUAAUGUAUCAUUUUCUUUCUUUUUGAUCACGAUAAUAGCAUGAUCCAGUAACUUCUUCCGCUGC
RNA transcript from Dermacentor silvarum, 964 nucleotides. RefSeq lists it as uncharacterized. The record is from RefSeq and is a predicted model, not a curated record. The transcript is spliced from 4 exons. Lineage: Eukaryota; Metazoa; Arthropoda; Arachnida; Ixodida; Ixodidae.